This 336-nucleotide unclassified non-coding RNA is filed under the name soil metagenome. RNAcentral's name for it is "partial contains 5.8S ribosomal RNA, internal transcribed spacer 2, and large subunit ribosomal RNA". The stretch from base 1 to 120 matches the Rfam family "5.8S ribosomal RNA", at positions 35 to 154 of the family's 154-position model. The record is from RNAcentral.
GAUGAAGAACGCAGCGAAAUGCGAUAAGUAGUGUGAAUUGCAGAAUUCAGUGAAUCAUCGAAUCUUUGAACGCACAUUGCGCCCCUUGGUAUUCCAUGGGGCAUGCCUGUUCGAGCGUCAUUUGUACCUUCAAGCUUUGCUUGGUGUUGGGUGUUUGUCUCGCCUUUGCGUGUAGACUCGCCUUAAAAUAAUUGGCAGCCGGCGUAUUGAUUUCGGAGCGCAGUACAUCUCGCGCUUUGCACUCAUAACGACAGCGUCCAAAAGUACAUUUUACACUCUUGAACUCGGAUCAGGUAGGGAUACCCGCUGAACUUAAGCAUAUCAAUAAGCGGAGGA